CAUUAUGAUGAACUCAAUAUUUUCGCUGUGUUCUUUCUGAAUACGUAUGUGGAAGAAAAACAUUUCACCUUGGAGAACUGAAAG
RNAcentral lists this small nucleolar RNA (84 nucleotides) under Phaeomoniella chlamydospora. RNAcentral describes it as "A. fumigatus snoRNA Afu_294". It matches the Rfam family "A. fumigatus snoRNA Afu_294". The record is from Rfam by way of RNAcentral. Lineage: Eukaryota; Fungi; Ascomycota; Eurotiomycetes; Phaeomoniellales; Phaeomoniellaceae.